CAAAGUUUCAGUCAAAGAUUGUUCAUAACUAGGGACCGCAUCCAAAGUCUCCCAAAAAAAAAACUAUAACCGUAUCAUUAUUAAGUAACUAUAGUAAUGAUUCUUAUGUAACCUUAGGUUGUAAACUUUAACAACAUUUUUUAAACUUCGUUAAAUAUGAAUGUUAACAUCAAUAGAUCAAUAGUCUUAAUUAUUAUUUUUUUUUGAGGGGGACAACUGGUGGUAAGCCACAAUUAUCUACCCCUUCUAGGCAUGAAGAGGCUUUAGGGAAUUUCACUCUGCCCGUGGCCAUAGUCAAGCAGACUUACCAGCUCAGAACAUUAAACUUGGGUGUCCGUAGAAUUUAUGACAAUAUUUCUUCUAUAUAUAUUCUACAUGUGUUAGAAAACUAAUUAGCAACAUGGGGUGCCCAACUUCAUAUAAGCACAUAAUGUUCCAUAAUUUUCACAUGUAGGAUUUACACUCUCAAUAUAUUUGUGUGUGUGUGUGUAAAUUUUUUUUUAAGGUAACUAAUUAAAUUAAUUAAGUAGCCAAGCUUCUUAUAGGGUUGUAUGUGUUGGAAAUAUGUCAUAAAAGUCAAUCAUGAGAUGAUACUUUACGGAUAUUUCACAUAUUAAACUUAUUUAGUUUAAGGGAAAGUGUUAUUGUUUAAAGCCAUCUCGUUAAAUGUUCAAUGCUUAAACAAUAAGUCCAAGGAAUAUGCAAUAGAUAAUGUAAUCUAAGGAAGUUAGAUUCAUGAGACCUUUUUUUCUCAUGCACAUAUCCUAAACGUUCAUGAUCAUAGAAUUGUAAAUUGGGCAUUGGCACUUCGAUAAGAUCAGUACAUAUUAUGUCUUCUUUCUUUAGAGAGUGAUUAGUCUCGAGUUAAUGGUGUGAAAGACAUCAAGAUAAGUAUGUAGCUACUCAACAGAGAGUGAGUUCAUUGAACGCGAUCAACCAGGAGUUCUUGUACUCAUGUCAUAUGAGUUCUCACUAGUUGGAAUACUUCAAAGUAGUCCUAUGGCCUAAGACACCACAAUUGUAUUGUGGAUACGUCUUUGAUUAUUUGAUGAUGUGUCAAUAACCUUAUGGUUUGUUCCAUGCAUUGUUGAGAUCAGUGAUUCUGUGAGUAUACAACAAGUGAUAUCUAACUUUCAAUCGUUGAAGUACAAUACUCUAUGAUAUGAUUUAAGAGUUUCUAGUCAGAACACAUGAAUAUGAUUUAGGAAUCAUGUUCCAAAUCACAUAUAAGUGUACAUGUCAGUGUACAACAAUGGAUCUUUAACCUUCAAAAAUUGAAGAAGAAUACUCUAUAUGUUAUGAUGACGAAUUGGCCAUAGUACAUGAAUAAGAUUUUGGAAGUAUGUUUCAAAUCACAUUCAAAGUAAUCAUAUAACAAGAGAAUCACAUUGGAUAGUAGACAUGAAUAAACUAUCAACCAAACAAUGUGAUAAAAAAUAUUGAUAUAAAGAAACAUUGUAUUGCAUUGUAAUCUCAAAUUGAAUAGGUUAUCCACGUCUUCUACUGAGUUUGGGUAGCCAUGACAUAUUGCUAGGUAUCAUUCAUGGUUUGUGGAAACCCUGAAGAUUAGCAAUCACUAAUCUUCACUACAGGGAGAAUUGGAACAAUCUUUCAAUUCACAAUUGAUUAGCAAAAGUUCUAAUCGCCAAUUGCCUUACUGACCAGAACCUAAUGGAUUGCACAUCGUGUAAGCUAAUGAUUGAAGAAUACAACAGAAUUGAGUAAGAACAAUUAAAUGGUUUAUUUUAUUAUGGCUAGGAUUAAUUAAUAUGUUAAUUAAACAAACGAAUAAAUUCAUUUUAAACCUUGAGUUAGUAUUGGGCCUCUAAGUCUCAUGCACUUCGAACCAUCAAGCUCAUUAACUUAAAUUGUAUGACAACUUGAAACACAAGGGACCCAAAAGCUCAAUGACUUGACAUGGCCGGCCAUUAGAGAAUGGAGAGGGAUUUCACUUAAGUGGAAAACACUAUAUAUAAAUGGAAAUAUCAACUCAUCCCUCAUUUGGGUUUUCAAGAGGCCAAAGGGAGGAAAAAUCUCUCUUUUCUCUCUUGGAGGUUGGCCCCUAGGAGAAUAAUCUCUAGCUAUUUUCUUCUCCUAGGUCGCUCAUCUUCUUCCUAAAUCAAACUUGGUGUCGAAACGUAAACGUCUCUUACUUUGGUGGGUUGGGGAAUCCAUUCAAGCAUCUAAAUUUAAGAAUCCAAGGAGACAAAAUAAUGAAGAUGAAGGUUGUGGAGUUCAAAUCAAAGAGAGGAAUGAAGGCCCUCACUUUGGGUGAUUAUCCUUUGCCUAUGCAAAGUGGAUCUACAAAGGUAUAACAAAUCUCAACUGAAAUUGGUACGAGGCGGAAUAUCCUGCAAAUAAAAAUUAAGUUUGCAUAGUAGAAUUGUCAGAUGAGCUAGUCAACUAGUUACAAGUUUGUCAGUGACCUAAAGUAUAAUUGCAAAAACAAAACUUAAUUAACUAGUACGUCUAACUAGUCAGAGUCUACCCAAAUUUGUCUCACAACAACAAUUCCCAAACUUGAACACAUUCACAUAUCAUUUCAUUAUGCCAAUGACAAUUACAAAGAAAUUAUGAAUUCAAGUAUGCUGGAUUGACUAGUCAAACUCGCCAGUCAACUAAGUACAGGUUCGUUAGUUAACCAAACACAAAUCGAUCAAUCAAACUUAGUUUACUAUAAGUUAUCCUAGUCAGCAACAAUUCAGUUCAUUACUCAUAAUAUGCAUUAUAAACUUAGUCGCAAACACAUAUCAAAUAACAACCCAUAGGAUGCAUGAAACAUAUGCUAAUAAAUAAGAUAUGUGGACAAGUUUAAGAAACAAAGAACACAAUAAGUUUUUGGUUGGAAAAACCCACCUUUGGGUUAAAAAAACCGGGAACUCCACAGAGUCCAAUCCACUAGUGCAAAUAAGGUUCUUACAAAUUAUCACAACAAGCUUAAUUCCUAGAUCUAAUCUACAUAGUAGUUUUACCUUUGUGACACCGAGACUAACACAAACAAAAGAAAACAAUAUGAUGAUGAAAAUUAUAUGAAAUUUGGAUUCAAUGACCAGUCAAUUUCUCUAGUCAAACAGUUGAAGGAAGAAACCAAAUUGAAUCCAACCUAGGUUUGUUUAAAGAUUUGAAACUUAUGAAAAACUAGACCAUUGAAAAAUGCAGCCCUUAACUCAUAAAUAUGUGUAGUGUUUUGUUGCGAAAAUUAUAUUAAUCGAAAUUAACCCAAUUAAGUUUUAAAUUUUAAUGCUCGCAAGUGUACAAAUCGUAGUAUAAUUAUAGUAGGCAAGCACAAGAUUGUUCCAACUAAAAUUGAUAUAUUUCUAAUUAUCUAACUUAAUUUAUACUUCACUUGAAUUGGAAGUCUACGAUUAAUGAUUUGAGAAAAAUUUAGGACUUGAGAUUCUACACGGAUAAAAUGUAAAAUGAAAUUAACAAGUGAUUGAGAAUGAUGAACAACUUGCAAAGAAAAUUAUAAAUCAGUUGUGAAAGACACUAGAGCAUUGGAUUCAGCAUAACCAAUCCUACUUUAUUCCAACAAUUAAUCAUUAACAAAUAAACAUCCAUCUAGACAGUCUAGUUCCUUUAAUUCAUAUACUAUGUAUACCCCUAUGUGCUAACAAUCUAUGGCAUCUAGAUAACUAAACACAUACGAAUUUAUUAUGAUUUGGGAACUAACUAAAGGGCCGCAUGAAACCUGGUGUAUGGCAUCUACAUCUAGGAAUUCAUGGUACCAUUUGCAGGACAGUCAAAUCGAAUAAAUAACAUGACAUAUGCGUUAAUUUGCAUCUCAUACACUCAAUUCAAACCAAAGUGGUGGCCACUCACCAAGAUUAAAAUCAAGCUAAUAAGCACAACAAAAUGAUACUCGAAGUGAAUGCAAAUUCAUUAAUAAUUAAACUGAAGUUUCAAGAAUUCAUAGGGAAAAGAAAUUAGUUCAACAUAAUCGGAAAUAUUAUUGAAUCCAUAAAAUUAAGAAGAAAACUAAGUUUAGAAAAACCCUAAAAACUCCUUGCUUUGUCGCAGCCUUCUUACCGUGCCUUUUCUUUCCUUCCUUGUGGAAUGAUGAUCAAUUUGCCCCCUUUGAAUUCCUCUUAUUUUCUCUAUUUCUUUCAUUCCUCUUAAUUGUUGAUAAAUUAAGCAAGUAGACUAGCCCUUGCAAGACGGUGUGAGUUCAACCUCGUCGGCGACUAAUCUAACACCUAAUCUAACAAAAUCUAUCGUUUGACAAAAAAAAAAAAAUCAUCUAUAAAUUAAUUCCAAUCAAACUCCAGCAGUUCCUUUUUGUUUCUUUUGUCUUUUCCCUUCAACUUCAUUCUUUCAUUUUCCGUAACCGACCAAAGUUUAAAACCAAUCUAUUGUGUAACAUCCCACAUUACCCAAGGGUGAGGAUCUUGUAAGCCUUAUAUGUUUAUUCCCAUCUUUACAUAGAGUAAGCCUUAUAUGUUUAUUCCCAUCUUUACAUAGCACGAGGCCUUUUGGGAGCUCACUGGCUUCGUGUUCCAUCGAAAAUCCGAAGUUAAGCGAGUUUGCUGAUGCGAAAUAUAUAAGCACACAAAUUAAACCCUCUUUUUAUCAAUUGUAGUAAAGUAUGUAAGUAGGGAUCGUUCUAGGCCGGGGAUUAGGAGGGAUUGCUAAAUCACUUGGAAACUGACUUGAAAACGUAAAAACAAAGUUUAAAACACUAACUAGACUCAAAGAAUGCAAAACUAUACUUUAAAACACUAAAACAAACCAAAAGACUCAAAACAGCCCCUAAACACUCAAAACUACCUUAAACACACAAUUUGGGCAGUUUUGGGACUCUAACACAAACUUGGACGAAUUUUGGUUUUCUAAUGAACUAAAACACUUAAAAACAUAAUCUAAGACAAGUUCUAAUUAAUAUGACUCAAAGAAAUAAGAUGGGGUUGAUUUUGGAUGAAAAUAAUUAAAUUAAGACAAGAACAAAGUAAACAAAUUCUUAGACAAAUUUAAGUGAAUCAAAACA
RNAcentral lists this long non-coding RNA (4984 nucleotides) under Malus domestica (apple). Its description in RNAcentral is "long non-coding RNA (MDOM_LNC008587)". Lineage: Eukaryota; Viridiplantae; Streptophyta; Magnoliopsida; Rosales; Rosaceae. The record is from RNAcentral.